RNAcentral lists this long non-coding RNA (743 nucleotides) under Dromaius novaehollandiae (emu). RNAcentral describes it as "lncRNA (ENSDNVG00000014453.1)". Lineage: Eukaryota; Metazoa; Chordata; Aves; Casuariiformes; Dromaiidae. The record is from RNAcentral.
UACAGGCAGCAAACAUCCGUGAAACUCACUGACAGAGUGUAUGUGCCUGCUAUUGUGUAGUUUAAUCAACAGUUAGACAGAAAGUAUAAAGUAAAACGUGAAAUAGCUGCUUGUUGAGUCCACUUUGCAGACUGAAAAGGAGGCAGGGUGGGAAAGGAUGGGGAAGAAAUGUAUGAUUAUAUAAUUCUAAAUAUAUUCUUAUAUAAAUAUGUCUUAGUGCAUACAUGUACAUGAGCUGGAUUGAGGUUGCUCAGGCAACCUUUUGAGUGCUGGACUCUGCAACUGUAAUGUACUUUUAAUGCACUUAAAUUAUAAAUGAAUAGAAUACAGUAGAGAUGUGGCACAGUGCCACAUAUGGCUGGUCAGAAUUAAUUAUCCACAGAUCUAGCUCAUGACUGGAGAGGCUCUGCAGUACAUCUUUUACCUUCAUCUCUUGUUAUCUCAUUUAUUCAUAGAUGCUGAUAAGACACUGUUGCCCCCCUCCCACCAAUCUAGCAAAUUAAUUUGACAGUGAGAAACUCAAAACGUUACAGAGUGGAAAGUCAGAAGUGCAUUUUCCAACUGCAAACAGUUGCAAUGAACUUUUCCUGACUAAUCCACCAGGCUCACUGUAUCGCUUCUGGACGAGAUGCCAGGAUUUUAUCACCAGGCCAGACAUUAACCCCCUUGGUAUCAUUCUGAAAGGAAGCRUCCGUGCACCCCACUGGCUUCUAUUCCCUAUGGUGCUUCAUUAUGCCUCCUAC